AGAGCGCCGCGCGGGGCGGGAGCUUGGUGGAGCAGGAGCGGCUGGGCAUCCUCCUGAGACUCCGGGGCCAGACGCCCACUCCAGAUUUCUUUAAAGCCUCAUGCAACACAUCAUUAUCGCUGGAUGCCCAGACAUUUAAUACACCUGACAGGUUGUGAAGUGCUCAGAAUGGGGCAGGAUGUCACCUGGAAUCAGCACUAAGUGAUUCAGACUUUCCUUACUUUUAAAUGUGCUGCUCUUCAAGAUGCCGUUGCAGCUCUGAUAAAUGCAAACUGACAACCUUCAAGGCCACAACGGAGGGAAAAUCAUUGGUGCUUGGAGCAUAGAAGACUGCCCUUCACAAAGGAAAUCCCUGAUUAUUGUUUGAAAUGCUGAGGACGUUGCUGCGAAGGAGACUUUUUUCUUAUCCCGCUAAAUACUACUUUGUGGUUCUUGUUUUAUCCCUAAUCACCUUCU
This 456-nucleotide small RNA is filed under the name Pongo abelii (Sumatran orangutan). RNAcentral describes it as "processed transcript". Lineage: Eukaryota; Metazoa; Chordata; Mammalia; Primates; Hominidae. The record is from RNAcentral.